Numida meleagris (helmeted guineafowl) is the source of this 8913-nucleotide long non-coding RNA. RefSeq lists it as uncharacterized. The transcript is spliced from 3 exons. NCBI's taxonomy places the organism in Eukaryota, Metazoa, Chordata, Aves, Galliformes, Numididae. The record is from RefSeq and is a predicted model, not a curated record.
UGAGAGAUGCUCACCAAAUGUGUUACGGGCAUACAGUAUUGGAAAAGGCAGUAACUGCUGUGUGAAGGUUUAUAUUGUUGCAUUCUUAGGCAAUAACACUUUGGUUUGUCAGGCAUUCCUUAUUUUUAGUAACUGUGAGAUAGUCAACCUGUGUUACAGUUGCCAUGUUUAGACAAGUUUCUUAACCCUCCUCUUUUUUGAAAUGCAGCCUUUGUUCUGUGUCAUGAAGCACUUCUGCAACUUCUCGGCAUUUAAUAUAAACAUCAGAUGCAUAAAAAAUUAAAAGGUAUUGAUCUGUUUGUUCUUCAAGAAAUGUAGCAGGAACAGAGAAAGGGAGAUUUUGUUUACUUUCGGUCAGUGUUUAGUUGUGAGGUCUGCCAGCAGGCUGUUAUGCCAGGCUGAUGCUCUGCAUCUGGAUUAUGGACUGCUUAAUUCCCAUGCCCAUUAGGCAUGACACUGUGACACCUUUCUUCAAGGUGAUGUAAGUUACCAAAGAUGUCCUAUGCCAUGUGUCAGUCCUUGCUGUGAUGGGGUAGCCCAUUAAGAAAGGGUUUCCAUUUCAGAGUGUAACAGCACUUCCCACACCUUGCGAGCUCCCUGGGAAUGGGGCCAAACAGUUGAGAAAUGCUGCUCUGUGUUAUUUCUAUGUAUAGCUUCUUAAAGGAUAGAUUUUUGUGUUUCACUAUUUCCUAUGCUGACUUUCUCAUUUGAUCAAAACAUCAUUUGUCUACAUCCAUGACUAAUGUGUAAUGUGAUCCAUUUCACUUAUUUAUGUUUCUUGUAGAUGGAUUUGUUUUCUCAUUUUCUGUGCUGUACCAAAAGCAUUAAUUUUAACAACGCUUCCAUACCUUCCACUUCUCCUUACCAUGGCAGACGCUAUUACAAGUUUUGGUAAAUCUGCCCUUUUCAGCAACAUAUAUGUUAACUCUGUUGCAACAACAGAAUCUCUUUCAGUUCUUUGGACUGAGAAGGUAAGAGAGUAUGAAAAUGUUUGGUAAAUCAGAGAAGAAUUUUUUUUAGUUAGUGAUUUUAUGAAGGAAGAAGUGGUUGAAAACUAGUGAAAAAAGGUAUUAAAGUGAAACUGUACAGAGUUGUGGGGUCUUAGCUAGAAUCUGAUUCUACAACUAAAAGUAAAAUUUAUUAGCAAUUACUACAUUGCUAAUAAUUACAUAUUAUUAUUAUUAUAUCUUAUUAGUUGCUUCCCUUUUUGAAUAAUCAUAACUGGCAUGCUUGAGAUACUGUUGUUCAUUAGUAUUCAUUUAUUGAACAGUAGGAUUAUUUAAGGUAUGUGAUUUUGCUUGUGAACCUAAAUACUAAAUUAGUUACAAUUAAAUAAGGUAGAAUAUUCGUGUGCUUAAUAGCAGAAAAUCUAUCUCUAGUACUUGAAUACGUUUUUUUCCUUAUAGUUUUAAUGUGGGAAAUUUUUAUGCCAUGAUUUUUAAGUUCUAAGAUUAUAUUACCAUGGAGAACAGGGUUAUAUUCCCUUAGUGAAAUUAAGCUGAUUAUAUUGGCUCCAUGUCAAUUAUAUCUUUGUUGUGAGGCAUUUGUAGAGCACAGACAUCACUUACUGAGUGUAUUUGUUCUUAAGAGAGUUUUUGUUUUGCAGUAUGAAGGACUGUGCUGUACAUAAAAGAUGUCUUGGUGUAAAAUAUAUGAAUGUAAUUGCAUUCUUAAACUCAUCUGUAAACUCAGAUGUCAUAUCUUUUAAAAUUUUGCUAUAGUAACUAAUACUGCAUUUAAAAUGAUCAAGGUUCUCGCCUCAUUUCCUUUAAACUAAGACUAGAAAUAGUUUGAUCACCCAGUUCAGUGGGAAAUGCUUUUGAAAAGGUCUGGAGUCACUUAGCCAUUGUGGUGUUUGCAAUCGAGUAAGUGCUAAGAGGAGGGAAUUGAAGCAGCUAUGGUUCAUUUACUAGUACUGCAAAUAAUACAGUUUUCUAGCUUACCAUCUGUGUAGAAUAAAAUGCUUCUGCUCUUGUUAUUCUGCCAGAUAACAGCCAUGGUAAAAUGCACUAAUGUUGAAAGUGCAUAUCUAUAAUGUACAGAAAAUUUUAGGGAAGUUACAACUUAUUCUAAACUCUACGUUAUUAUUCUAGGCUUAAAAAUUGCCUUAGGAAUCUGGAGGAAAAAUUGUAACACGAUGAGGAAUGUAAAUGUGUUACGUACCUACAAAAUCUUGGCUUUGUCAUUUUAUCUUUAAUUAAUACCAAAUAAUCGCAUUCUUUCUACUACUACAUUAAACUGAUCCAAUGUUAAAUCUUUCUUUGAAUGUUGUUACAUUUUGCUGAAACGCAUAGGGUAUGUGCUGCUGGUUAUCUUCUGAUUUGAUGUCCUUGCUUUUCGGCUUUGUGCUAGGUACGUAGCAACCUCCCUAUGAAGCACUCCACUUUGUGUGUUAAUGCAAAAUACUGUUUUGCUGUUGUUGGCAAAUGGCUUUCUCUUGGAAGAUGAUAAUUAAAGGUACAUAAAAUCCGAAUUGUUUUAAAUUUUUGUAAGCGACAAGUAAAAAUGAGUCAUACGCGAGGGAAUUUUGUUAAUGGGGUUUCUGUCAUAACUAUGUCUGACACAUUCUAGAAAGCAGGCACUUAGUUUUGCACUGCUUGUUCUUUUAUCGGUAAAAACAAAACCUACAUUUUAAAAAUCUCACCAUGCCUGUACAGUAUGAUCUUUCCUGGUAUUAUUCUUCGGAGAAACUUUUUAUAGCUUUUCAUUUGUUAUUUAUUUAUUGUGGUGAGUUCAUCUCAGUGCACUGCUUUCAUUAACGAUUUCUAGAAAUCUUAUGAAAAUGGUCAUGUACCUGUUACUUCGUGUUUAUUAAUCUUGACCAAAAAAUUCCUAGCGUAGCUCUUCCAGAAGGCUUUGUAUAAUGACAGUGAAUCCUCAUUACGGCAGGAAAUGUGAUGUUCAGUGGCAAUGCCAUGUAGGCUCUGCUGUCUGAAGGUGCAAAUGCAUUUUGGAAUUCGGCUGUAUUCAUAUUACAGGUAACUGCUGAAUUUGGAAAAGUUAGUCUCAAACAGUUUGUGGUUUUAUGCCACCCUCCUCUCAAAAGUAAAAUGCAUAUAUACCUUACGGGGUUCAGUGUGUCCCUGUUAGGUCAUAAAAGUUGUCAGUUAUUUCAGUUGAGAUAUACGGGAAUGAAAUAGAGAAAGAAAAGAGCACUAAAUGGAAUUAUGUUGUUGAAGGGGAAUUCCUUUAAUGUUGAGGAAAUCAGAGCUAUUUAUGCAUAGUGGGAUCAGUGGUGUCAGCAGCUUUUUUUUGUAUUUUCUUUUAAAUUAAUCAGUAUUGCCCUAAAAGUAAGAUGAUUCUGUGUUCUUGUCCCGGAAUGGUAUGCACCAUUUGCAGAAGUGGAGAACAAAUGUGUGUGUUCAGUUCUUGCUCAAAGUAGGUUCAGAUUUGUGCUGGAACGUGUGUUCCCUCUUUUUUGUUUACAUCAAGUCCACAAGUUACUGAAUGCAACACGUUACUGAGACAGGUUGGAUUGUGAGAUGACUGUAAUUUCAUGUUAACAAAGGUUUUUGUCAUUACAUUUCUUCUCUCCUAGCAUAGGGAAAGAUGUCUCUUGUCAGAGAUUAUUUUAGCACUUAGUUUCCUUGUAGCCUUGCAACUGUAAUGCUGCUUGGCUGUCAUCUCCUAACCAGGAAUUUUCAGUAAUAUUUCUGUUCUAGUAUUAGAUAUGGAUGUUGGUGGUCCUGCCUGCAGCAGGGGAGUUGGAGCUUGACGAUCCUUGAGGUCCAUUCCAACCCAAGCCGUUCUAUGAUUCUGUGAUUCUGAUUUCUUUGUCAGUAAGGCUCUCAGCAUUUUACAUCAUUAUCCCCGUUUUGUUUAUACUGAGACUGGAGUAGAGGGUGACACAUGGUCCUAGAAAUCUUCAGGAGAAGUCUGAGUGCUGAAGACUGUCCCUAGUGCCUCAUAGCAGAGUCAGCUGAAUCCUAACUAUUCCUAGUAAAUAUUUACCCUCUGUGUUCUUAAAAUGUGUCGGUGAUGUAGAUUCCAGAACCAAUCUGCUCAAUUUGUUCCAGUAAUUAAUGAUUAUUUUGGGGGAAAAAAAAAAAAAAGCUUUGUCACAUGUAGAUCUUUCUGGACAUACUUCUAAUUCAUAAUGACCACGAUGUAAAGAUUGUUGGUUUUUUUCUCCACUGCAAUUGUGUCUUGCAUAUUGGAAAACAGUUGUAAAGAUUUUAACAAGAUUUUAAGGCUCAGGGGUGAUCUGAUUGCUCUCUGCAACUACCUGAAGGGAGGUUGUGGUGAGGUGGGGGUUGGCCUCUUUUCCUUAGCAAUAGAACUAGAGAGAAUGGCCUCAAGUUGUGCCAGGUGAGAUUCAGGCUGGAUGUUAGGAAAUAAUUCUCCUCUGAGAGAGCGGUCAGGUGCUGAAAUGGGCUGCCCAGGGAGGUGGUGGAGUCACCGACCCUGGUGGGUCGUGAGGGAGGUGGUCGAGAAAUGUUUAGAUGUUGUACUGAGGGACAUGGUUUAGUGGGAAAUAUUGGUCAUAGCUGGAUGGCUAGACUGAUGAUCUUAGAGGUCUUUUCCAACCUUGGUGAUUCUGCGAUUCUAUGAUUCAUUUCCUUUCUAGUCUGAAUUCCAUUAUCUUUACCUUUCCAUGUCUUCCAGAUUUCUGAUCAUUCUUCCUGAUCAUUUCUUGAAUCUCAUGAAUGUAUUUGUACUGGAUGGAGUUCUUGUGCUCAAAAGCAGUCACACGAUGGCUCAUUAGUUGGACGCUGAGCUAACUGCUCUGGCUAUAUAUUUUCUUAUGAGUUGCAAAUCCAGUUAAUAACAGUUUCAUUUAUUCCAUAUUUGUAGGUUAAUAAGAGAAUCUUAGUCUCCUGAAUCCCAUUCAGUGUUCCUUCCAGAAUGCUGUUUGGUUUGACAUGUUUCCUUUAUGUUCCUUUUUCUUUUAUGUUCAGACGGAGGCAAUGAUCUACCUAUGUAGAUCUUACACCUUCCUGUGAAGCAGUUGGCUUGGAGGAAUUAAUGAUAAAUAGAUUUACAGUCUAAUCCAAGGAGGUAACUUCCCCCUUUCUAAGCCCCUGCACAGAUUCACUACUUGUUUCCCUACCAGUGCAAGAACAAAAAUUGUUGGAAUGAAGACCGUUUCCAUGAAAAGUUUAUGAGGAAAAAUAGUGUUCCAAUGAAAACUGACUGUGAUGCAACCACAUUAUGAGACUUUGAAAACUCCUUGGGUUCCAUGCAUCAGUGUAAAAUUGGAAGAGCAACAGAUUUUUCCUUGUAAAGUGCUAAAUGAAAGCAGCUGUAAGCAGGCCGCACAUAAGGGCCUUCCUCUUCAGCUCAGCUGCCCUGCGUUCCUCCUGACAUACAAAAGCUGUGAAAUAUGUCCCGAGUUGCCACCCUUAUGCUGGAUGUGCAGCAAAUGGUGUGUAAAGCUGAAGGAACCCCCAGUAACUAUACAAGAGGGAGAUCAUUUUUCCCUCACAAAUUUUCACCUCUCCUGAAAAAAGGGAGCCGUUCUCAAACUCUAAACAAGUGCUGUAGCAGAGAUGUGGGAUACAGCAACUUGCCAGGAGGUACUGUCGGCUGUCUCCACUGAAUCUUACGGCUUCAUUGAGUUUCGUAUAUGCCAAGAAUUCAAGUAUGAGUGAACUGGAAAAUUUCAGAGGCUAAAGUAUCCAUUUCAGUCUUGGUUUUAUCGAAAGCUGAUUUGUGGAUCAAACAACAGCGGCUGCUGCAUUUGCUUCAAAAUCUAUCUGCAGUGUUUUCUUCUUUUCUUAUUUGAGGCUUUCACCAUUCUGCUUUAACUGUUCACUUUACAAAACAUUUGCAAAGAUUCUGCUAGGUGUUUUCCCACUUACCCCAUAUUAAAAAGCGAUCUAAUGCAAUUUCUUUUUCUGGCUGUCGUCAAUAAACAGGAAUGGCAAACUGUAGCACUGACUACUCUUCUGCAUGUGCCAGAUGGUGUCUUUGAGAAUACACUGCAGAGACUUCCAACGCACCACCCUGCAGAUGAAGAACAUAGGGCCAGCUACUCAACUGGUGCAAAUCAGCAGAGUGCCACUGAACAGCUUGUGCAAACCCAGUUUGCAUUAGAUGUUAUCUGACUCAUGGGAUAAUUAAUAAAAACUGCCGUAUUAUACAUGCUGAUGCUUUUGCAGCUAAUUUGCCUUGUCUUCUAAAUGUCACAGAAAAUGAUUAUGUGCCUCUCGGAGUCAAGUUAAUAUGUAAUACUUGAACGGAGAGGAAUUUUUUCAAGUUGUGAUAGACAUAAGAAGUUUGCCAUGCAGAUACCACAGUAAAAGUAAUGUAAAUAUGUAGAAAUAAUAUGCAAGAUACUGCAUAUGCACAUCUGAAGUUUCUUUUGAAAAGAGUACUGUGCUGUGGGAGCAGUUUAUGCAGACUUCAUAUGCAAAGAAAAUUUUAUAUUUUUCUGAUUUUAGAAGGAAAAUGAAAUAGGGUUAAUAUAUGGAGAGAUGUACAGGUAUUACACAUUAGAGUAGAAAGAACUGAAAAGUGGAAGCUGUUGUCAUGACAGUUCACCUUAGGGAGCGCUUCCUUUGAAUUCUCAGCAUUAUUUAUAACUGUCUUCCUUUGAGUUUGCAGAUGGUCACUGUAGUGACCGUGUGAUUUAAAAAUGCAUUGCAAUUGAUCCAGCUGUAACCUUUAUGUGGGAAGAAUGAUUCGGAUGAUGAAGCAAUGAAACCACUUCCUAGUAACUUUGACUCAAUAAGAAAUGGUGUCUUUUUGUGACCCUUUCUCCAGAAGCAAAGUUAGGGAAUCACAGGACACAAAGCGUCCUGAAAUGCCUUAAGGUUUGCAGGGGGGUCACGUUCCAAAGAUUGUUAGAUUUUGAAUGCUGGGCGCUUAUGUUCCCAUUUACAUGACAGUUUGUCUUGCAGAUGCUGCUGAACAUUCUAAAAUCCUGUUUCUAUUUAUGGUGCUGCUUUUAAGUCUGACCUGAGUUUUUUUUUCUUGAGGCCAUCCUAAAAAUAAAAAAGAUAGCUACACAUGUUAAGUGAAAUACACCAGAGGCGCCUGUAGUCAUGCUGUGUCGAUGCUUCAAAUGCGUGACUUUUGAUGUGAAAAGAAUUCAGUGUUCCAGCCAGAUUUGCAAGGUUAUUUGUCCAAUUUAGGUUAUGUACCCUUUUUUUUUGUAGUAGUAGCUGUUAAAAAAAAUGUAUGAAUGCACCGUGUGCAUCAUUCGUACAAGUGGAAGUUAUAACGAAUGUGUCUCUAUCGUGGAAUUUUAAUGGUACCUUUAAUAAAACACUGUUUGUGUGAUGCUUUUCAAAUUAGCGUACUUUUAAAGCAGCAGUAUUUGGACAGGGCGGUUCUGGUGUGCUUCAAUAGUCCUUAUUUCAUGAGAAAUAUAUGUAAUAUGAAUUUUCUUAAUCCCUUGAAAGUCUUAUAGAAAGGAACGUGUUCUCUGUGAGGGAUUAAUUUGCUUUUGGCCUAUGGCAGUUGGUUAAAACAAAACCAAACCCUGAAAUGUUUAUUUACUGUUAAUCUGAUGAUCCUAACACAUAGGUUGCCUGUUUAUGUGCAUAAGCUACUCCUGCUCGUACUGGUGGUGAGGUUAUAGCAGAUUUCACUGGAAGUGGGAGAAGAUUUCUGUUGGGUUUCCUGAGUGAUAGAUCUAAGUCUUCCCUUAAAAUUUUAAUAAAGUUUUCCUUAGUCACUCUUAUGCUUGAAGCAUCUUACUAGAUUCACACAGGAUCGUUUAGUGCUGUUUCUAUGGUUUUACAAAAAGGAAUUAUAUUUCUGGUACAAAGAUACAAAGGCACAUUGGAAGCCCUGAGAAUUGAGGGAUACUAUUGCUUGCUCUCCUUGAACUCCAUCCUUUUCUCAGCCUCAGGAGAGCUAACGUAGAAACAAUGCUUGCUUUUUAAAAUUUUGGUUUCUAAUUGAAACCAGUAAACAUGCUAAAAAAGAUAAAUAAACAACUAGUAAUGUGAAGAUUUCAUCUUCUCCCACUCCUUUCUUGCUGCACUUUAGAUGCAUCUCCAGCAUCCUAGGCAUCACCCUCGAGGCCCUCGCUUCAAACCCUAUCAUUGGUCUUGUCACAUUGUUCUGAAAGCAACCAUAUACACACAUGCAUAAAUAAACCUCCCUCCUGGCUUGCUUGUGUUCUUGCUCUCCUCGUGUGCUAGUUAAUGCUUUUUUGCUCAUUUCUGAGGGAGGGCUGUGCUGUGCUGGGGGCUACAUGAAGGUAUGGGGAGAGGGUGAUGUAUGGCAGCAGGAAUGGUGCCCCAUUUCAGAGUGCGUGAUGCUCUCUAGUACAGUUGAAUAAAUGUAAAUAUUAAAUACACUCAGAUUAUUGAUUUUUUAAAAUAAUGAGAUGAUAUUCUUUACAGAAUUAUGUGAAUCUGCUUUGAUUUGGUUUUCAUUACGAUUUUGGAAGCUGCAUGAUAUUGAUAAGUCAUGUAGUGUUACUAUGAGUCUUGCUUUUCUGUGAUAGCUGGUGUGUGCUACUGUGUGAAAAUGUAAGCAGGAAUGUUGUUGGCUUUUAAGAAAGCACCAAAUAAAAUAUAUCCUGAAAAUGAAUCUACUUAUGGCAAUGCAAGCAUAGCAUUUAUUUGUUUAAAGUUCACGAUUCACAGAAGCAUCAGGAAGGAGGUUGGAUGACUAUUUUACAAAUUGUAAUCAGCUUGUCUUUCCUAUAUCAAACUGAUGCUGAGAAGUCUUUUCCUUAAUGACCUCAGUGUGAAAUUAAGAUCAACAACCUUUUUUGGUUUUGCUUUGUUUUACAUCUUUUAAAGGAAGAAGUUUCCUGGAGAGAAAGGCAGCGGGUAAGAUAUAAGCUACUAUGUACAGUAAGAAGUCUGAGAGAAACUGAGUGGAAUUCUCUGCUCCUUUGUUAUCUAGGAUAACACGUCUUUGUUUUAGUUUUUGAGAUAAGAACAAACAAAUGCAUGGAUGACCAGGUAUCUCUAACACUUUUCAGGCUUAAAUAAUAUGUUCUUGUCUUUG